GUCCACGCUGUAAACGAUGACGACUAGGUGUGGGGGGGUUCAGUCCCCUCCGUGCCGCAGCUAACGCAUUAAGUCGUCCGCCUGGGGAGUACGGCCGCAAGGUUGAAACUCAAAGGAAUUGACGGGGGCCCGCACAAGCGGUGGAGCAUGUGGUUCAAUUCGAUGCAGAGCGAAGAACCUUACCUGGGCUUGACAUGCAGGAAGUAGAAACCGGAAACGGCGACGACCUGUUAAGUCAGGAACCUGCACAGGUGGUGCAUGGCUGUCGU
RNAcentral lists this ribosomal RNA (269 nucleotides) under uncultured bacterium. RNAcentral's name for it is "partial 16S ribosomal RNA". It matches the Rfam family "Bacterial small subunit ribosomal RNA", at positions 793 to 1055 of the family's 1533-position model. The record is from RNAcentral.